UUCAAUUCAUUCAUGACAUUAUAAUAUACGACUAUCUUUCUUGGUCAGGCAAAAUUCUCCUAUCUUUGAGGACACGGCGAAUCCUCUAUUCUCUCUUCUGCACUGCCGCCUCGUAAAUCACUACUGUGAUAGUUUUUAAUUGGGCCUAGGCCCAGUGGUGUGAGCAAAGAAGAAUAGAGGGUCCCCAUGUUCUCAUAGUUGGACUGGGUUUUACAAUAAUAUGAACGGGUUUAAGGAGUGGCCACUUUAACGGUGUGUUUAAGCGCGUCCGAAGAAGAAUUUUUUAUUUUUUAUUAAAAUAGGAUUGGACAUAUCAGACACUGUGUGUUGGUCAAACGAAUAUCGUAUCCAAAAUGUAUCCAAUACACGGAUACGACAACUCAAUAAAGUGUCCAUAUUUCAUAGUUCGUCACUGUAUAGAAGGUCCAUGUUUCCUAUUUUUUCACUUUUGGCAGAAGCAGAAGCAUCAGCUACUGAGGGAUGAAAGCAUGUAUGUUUAUUUGAAGAGAAGGACAUCAAGUUACAUACGCCAUUGAGAAUCACAUGCAUCAUGCAUGGGAAUUCACCGAAAACAAGCACUACUGUAUAUAAAGACAUAAUAGGUGUCUAUAUUUCAGAUAUAAUAUUCAUAUGAAUAUAUUUUUGGAAUAUUUUUAUAAGAGUGUUAAUGUCUUUUCUAACAUGACAAAUAGUUUUAUUACCCUUCGCUUUGUAAAAUUUCUUGUCAACAGCAAAUUAAAUAAAUGACAAGGAUUAGGUGAAAUGCUUCUAAAGUUCACCAUUUUUAUAUUCUACAAAUUACAAAAUAGCUGAGGAGACGGUGCACAUGCAUGUAUGCCACUUUCAAGCAAUAACAAUUAGUUAUUGGUUUCUUAA
Arachis stenosperma is the source of this 876-nucleotide long non-coding RNA. RefSeq lists it as uncharacterized. The record is from RefSeq and is a predicted model, not a curated record. Lineage: Eukaryota; Viridiplantae; Streptophyta; Magnoliopsida; Fabales; Fabaceae. The transcript has 2 exons.